Molecule: ribosomal RNA, 1332 nt
Filed under: uncultured bacterium
Lineage: Bacteria
Description: bacterial SSU rRNA
Rfam family: Bacterial small subunit ribosomal RNA
Source: RNAcentral
GGAUGAACGUUGGCGGCGUGCCUAAUACAUGCAAGUCGAACGAAGACUGUAGUAAUACUGUCUUAGUGGCGAACGGGUGAGUAACGCGUGGGUGACCUGCCCCGAAGUGUGGGAUAACAGUCCGAAAGGAUUGCUAAUACUGCAUAAUAUCCAAGAGAUUAGAUGCUUUUGGAUUAAAGGAGUAAUUCGCUUCGGGAGGGGCCCGCGUCCCAUCAGCUAGUUGGUAAGGUAAUGGCUUACCAAGGCGAUGACGGGUAGGGGACCUGAGAGGGUGGCCCCCCACAAUGGAACUGAAACACGGUCCAUACACCUACGGGUGGCAGCAGUAGGGAAUAUUAGUAAUGGGCGAAAGCCUGAACUAGCAACGCCGCGUGUGCGAAGAAGGCCUUCGGGUCGUAAAGCACUUUUUGAGAGGAUGAGGAAGGACGGUACUCUCAGAAUAAGUCUCGGCUAACUACGUGCCAGCAGCCGCGGUAACACGUAGGAGGCAAACGUUAUCCGGAUUUACUGGGCGUAAAGCGCGUGUAGGUGGUUUGGUAAGUAGGGCGUGAAAGCUCCUGGCUCAACUGGGAGAGGACGUUCUAAACUGCCAAGCUUGAGGAUGGUAGAGGGAGGUGGAAUUCCGGGUGUAGCGGUGGAAUGCGCAGAUAUCCGGAGGAACACCAGUGGCGAAGGCGGCUACCUGGUCCGAUACUGACACUGAGGCGCGAAAGUGCGGGGAGCAAACAGGAUUAGAUACCCUGGUAGUCCGCACAGUAAACGUUGGACGCUAGGUGUUGGUCUUUAUGAGAUCAGCGCCGCAGCUAACGCAUUAAGUGUCCCGCCUGGGGAGUACGACCGCAAGGUUGAAACUCAAAGGAAUUGACGGGGGCCCGCACAAGCGGUGGAGCAUGUGGUUUAAUUCGAUGCAACGCGAAAAACCUUACCUGGGCUUGAACUGUGGUCGCAAACUCAUGAAAGUGAGUCCUCCUUCGGGACGGCCAUAGAGGUGCUGCAUGGCUGUCGUCAGCUCGUGCCGUGAGGUGUUGGGUUAAGUCCCGCAACGAGCGCAACCCUUGCCCUUAGUUGCCAACAGGUUAUGCUGGGAACUCUAAGGGGACUGCCCCAGACAAUGGGGAGGAAGGUGGGGACGACGUCAAGUCAUCAUGGCCCUUACGUCCAGGGCUACACACGUGCUACAAUGGCCGGUACAACGGGCAGCCACAUGGUAACAUGGAGCUAAUCCUAAAAGUCGGUCUCAGUUCGGAUCGAGGUCUGCAACCCGACCUCGUGAAGCUGGAUUCGCUAGUAAUCGCGCAUCAGCCAUGGCGCGGUGAAUACGUUCCCGGGCCU